GACGUAGGGCGCGAGCGUUGUCCGGAUUUAUUGGGCGUAAAGAGCUCGUAGGCGGCUUGUCGCGUCGUCCGUGAAAACCCACGGCUUAACUGUGGGCUUGCGGUCGAUACGGGCAGGCUGGAGUUCGGUAGGGGAGACUGGAAUUCCUGGUGUAGCGGUGAAAUGCGUUGAUAUCAUCAGGAACACCGGUGGCGAAGGCGGCUUUCUGGGUCUUACCUGACGCUGAGGAACGAAAGCCAGGGGAGCGAACGGG
Molecule: ribosomal RNA, 253 nt
Filed under: uncultured bacterium
Lineage: Bacteria
Description: partial 16S ribosomal RNA
Rfam family: Bacterial small subunit ribosomal RNA
Source: RNAcentral